CCUACGAGUGGCAGCAGUGGGGAAUAUUGCACAAUGGGGGAAACCCUGAUGCAGCGACGCCGCGUGAGUGAAGAAGUAUUUCGGUAUGUAAAGCUCUAUCAGCAGGGAAGAAAAUGACGGUACCUGACUAAGAAUCCCCGGCUAACUACGUGCCAGCAGCCGCGGUAAUACGUAGGGGGCAAGCGUUAUCCGGAUUUACUGGGUGUAAAGGGAGCGUAGACGGGGGGACAAGGCAGAAGUGAAAGGCCGGGGCUUAACCCCGGGACUGCUUUGGAAACUGUGGGGCUGGAGUGCAGGAGAGGUAAGUGGAAUUCCUGGUGUAGCGGUGAAAUGCGUAGAUAUUAGGAGGAACACCAGUGGCGAAGGCGGCUUACUGGACUGUAACUGACGUUGAGGCUCGAAAGCGUGGGGAGCAAACAGGAUUAGAUACCCGUGUAGUC
Molecule: ribosomal RNA, 440 nt
Filed under: uncultured bacterium
Lineage: Bacteria
Description: partial 16S ribosomal RNA
Rfam family: Bacterial small subunit ribosomal RNA
Source: RNAcentral